This 609-nucleotide ribosomal RNA is filed under the name Haplosporida sp. RNAcentral's name for it is "SSU rRNA". It matches the Rfam family "Eukaryotic small subunit ribosomal RNA", at positions 1130 to 1775 of the family's 1831-position model. The record is from RNAcentral. Lineage: Eukaryota; Endomyxa; Ascetosporea; Haplosporida.
CGCAAGAGUGAAACUUAAAGAAAUUGACGGAAAGGCACCACCAGAUGUGGAGCCUGCGGCUUAAUUUGACUCAACACGGGAAAACUUACCAGGUCAAGACAUAGUAAUGAUUGACAGAUUAAAGUUCUUUCUUGAUUCUAUGCAUGGUGGUGCAUGGCCGUUCUUAGUUGGUGGAGUGAUUUGUCUGGUUAAUUCCGAUAACGAACGAGACCUCAGCCAUCUAAAUAGCUGAAGCUAACUCGUUAGCAAUCCAUCAGCUUCUUAGAGGGACAAUCUGUGACUUCAGCAGAUGGAAGUUUGAGGCAAUAACAGGUCAGUGAUGCCCUUAGAUGCUCUGGGCUGCACGCGCGCUACAAUGGUGCAUUCAGCGAGUUUAACCUUGCCUGAGAAGGCCGGGUAAUCUUUAAAGUGCAUCCAAGUUGGGAUAGAUGAUUGCAAUUGUUCAUCUUGAACAAGGAAUAUCUAGUAAACGCAAGUCAUCAACUUGCAUUGAUUACGUCCCUGCCUUUUGUACACACCGCCCGUCGCUUCUACCGAUUGAAUAAUCCGGUGAAUUGAGUGGAUGGGGAGACUCAGUCACCCCAGAAGCUCCGUAAACCUUAUUAUUUA